This 405-nucleotide ribosomal RNA is filed under the name uncultured bacterium. RNAcentral's name for it is "bacterial SSU rRNA". It matches the Rfam family "Bacterial small subunit ribosomal RNA", at positions 355 to 776 of the family's 1533-position model. The record is from RNAcentral.
UGGGGAAUAUUGGGCAAUGGGCGCAAGCCUGACCCAGCAACGCCGCGUGAGCGAUGAAGGUCUUCGGAUUGUAAAGCUCUGUCGCAGGGGACGAAGUAUGACGGUACCCUGUAAGAAAGCCCCGGCAAACUACGUGCCAGCAGCCGCGGUAAUACGUAGGGGGCUAGCGUUGUCCGGAAUUACUGGGCGUAAAGGGAGUGUAGACGGCUUGUCAAGUUAAGUGUGAAAGCCCGCGGCUCAACCGCGGAACUGCACUUAAAACUGACUCGCUAGAGUGCAGGAGAGGUGAGCGGAAUUCCUAGUGUAGCGGUGGAAUGCGUAGAUAUUAGGAGGAACACCAGAGGCGAAGGCGGCUCACUGGACUGUAACUGACGUUGAGGCUCGAAAGCGUGGGGAGCAAACAGG